GACGAACGCUGGCGGCGUGCCUAACACAUGCAAGUCGAACGGAAAGGCCCUGCUUUUGUGGGGUGCUCGAGUGGCGAACGGGCGUGUAACACGUGAGUAACCUGCCCCUUACUCUGGGAUAACUUCAGGAAACUGGGGCUAAUACCGGCUAGGAGCUCCUGCUGCAUGGUGGGGGUUGGAAAGUCUCGGCGGGUGGGGAUAGGCUCGCGGCUUAUCAGCUCGUUGGUGGGGUAGUGGCUUACCACGGCUUUGACGGGUCGCCGGCCUGAGAGGGUGACCGGCCACAUAGUGACUGAGAUACAGCGCCGACUCCUACGGGGGGCAGCAGUGGGGAAUAUUGCACAAUGGGCGGAAGCCUGAUACAGCGACGCCGCGUGCGGGAUGACGGCCUUCGGGUUGUAAACCGCUUUCGCCUGUGACGAAGCGAGAGUGACGGUAAUGGGUAAAGAAGCACCGGCUAACUACGUG
Molecule: ribosomal RNA, 468 nt
Filed under: uncultured bacterium
Lineage: Bacteria
Description: partial 16S ribosomal RNA
Rfam family: Bacterial small subunit ribosomal RNA
Source: RNAcentral